GUGGGGAAUCUUAGACAAUGGGGGAAACCCUGAUCUAGCCAUGCCGCGUGAGCGAUGAAGGCCUUAGGGUUGUAAAGCUCUUUCAGCUGGGAAGAUAAUGACUGUACCAGCAGAAGAAGCCCCGGCUAACUCCGUGCCAGCAGCCGCGGUAAUACGGAGGGGGCUAGCGUUGUUCGGAAUUACUGGGCGUAAAGCGCACGUAGGCGGACCGGAAAGUCAGAGGUGAAAUCCCAGGGCUCAACCUUGGAACUGCCUUUGAAACUCCUGGUCUUGAGGUCGAGAGAGGUGAGUGGAAUUCCGAGUGUAGAGGUGAAAUUCGUAGAUAUUCGGAGGAACACCAGUGGCGAAGGCGGCUCACUGGCUCGAUACUGACGCUGAGGUGCGAAAGCGUGGGGAGCAAACAGGAUUAGAAACCCUUGUAGUCC
This 425-nucleotide ribosomal RNA is filed under the name uncultured bacterium. RNAcentral's name for it is "partial 16S ribosomal RNA". It matches the Rfam family "Bacterial small subunit ribosomal RNA", at positions 354 to 796 of the family's 1533-position model. The record is from RNAcentral.